UCUCGGAUGAGAGGUGAAACAUCUUCAAGCAACUCAAAGAAGUCCAGAUGCUUUUCUUUCCAAGCUCCUUAGAUCAGUUGAUCAUUUUCAAUUCAUCCUAACAAUCUCUCUUUAUUUAAAUCAUUGUCAGUCUGUCACAAAUGCAAUAGACAACUGCUGAAUUUGAUUUCUCAUUAGUGUAAUUUAUGUUUAUAAAAACAUUCAUGAAUUUCAGAGAUAUGAAAAGCUGACAUACUCGACCUAUGAAACAUUAUCAUCAGCAAAAAUAAAAACUGGAUCUCUAAAGUUGUGGUGAGGAAGUGACAUCUCACUGAUGAAAGGAAGUACAAACCGUCCUAAAGAGUCAUCAGUUCAGAGACUGUGACAGUCGAGAUUGAGAACGAGAAUGAAGUGAGACAGAGAAGCACGAUGGAUGAAUUCAGAUGGAUUCAAAUGUUUUUAUGUCUGAUGAUUCAGAUUGCAGUAUCUGUAAAUGAAUCAUCCAUGUUUAUGAAAGUUGGAGGUGACGUCACUCUGCCUUGUCUAAAUGUGAUAGAUGAGCAGAAUAACUGUGAUGGUACUACGUGGGUCUUUACUUCAAGAAACAGAGAAACAGUAGAGCUGAUCAAACUUGGACAGAUUGGUGAAGAAGCUAAAACUAAAUCAGACAGACUGAGUGUUACAGCGAACUGUUCUCUGCUUAUAAAGAAGCUCACAGUUGAGGAUGUUGGUCUUUAUUCCUGUCAACAAUAUAGAUUAGGAAGAACACGAGCUGAGGACACUCUGGUUCAUCAGUCUUUCAUUGAUCUCUCUGUUAUUACCUUGACUGAACAUGAGGACACUGAUACGGUGAUGUUAAGCUGCUCUGUGGUGACAUAUGAACAGUGUCAUCACACAGUGAAGUGGCUGAUUGAAAGUCGAGAUGUGGACAAAGAGAACAGAGAAAUAGUGACCUCACAGACUGACUGCGCUGCCACUGUGUCUUUUCUUGAGUCUCACUCUAUUUAUCCAUCAAGGUAUAAUAUAAUGAAAUGUGAAGUGACUGACACUAACACAAGAAGAGUGCAGCUGUUUACAUUCAGCCUUCAGCCCUCAGGUGAGGAAACAGGUGACACAAAAACAACAACGAAUCCAGCCAGAAAAACUGAAAUAAGCACAAAAUCAGAAACAAACCCAACAAUCAAGAGUCCUUCAAAACCAGCUAUCCAGUGGUUCAUCAUUCCAGCUGUGGGUUUGGUCUCACUCUUGGUAAUUGUUGUGGUUUUCAUCAGAUGGAAGAGAACUAGAGGAAAUAAAACACAGAUGGAUGAAGAUGCUGGACUUAGUUUAAACCCUGCAGAGACUCGGUCUGCUCCUCAAACCAGUCAGCUCUCGGCGGAUCCUGAACCUUCAUAUGCCACCGUCAGCUACACCAAGAACACCAACGGUAACACCAGGAUUUGGGGUGAUGAUGACAAUGAUGCGACCUACUGCACUGCUCCUUUCGCUUCUACUGCAGCCACUGCUGAUCCCGACAACCUCUACUCUACUGUCAACUUUCCAAUCACAUAGCACAAGCAGCUCACAAAAGGACUUGUAUAUAAUGGAAAAUCCUUUUUUUCAAUUUCAAAUGGACCAUGAUGGUAGCAACAUGCUAAUUAGGCAUAAAUUAUUUUUUUAAACCCAUAAAUAGAUAUAUAUCUACUUUUUUAUUGAAAAUAUAAUUGGUGCCUGGACUACUUUACCAGAGUUAUGAGCUGUAGCAGAUGCUCCAAAGAAGGCUGGCUAGACAGAAAAUAUACCACCAUUACAUCAAACACUGGCAUUCCUGGCAGCUGGACUGCAACAUGACCCACAGCGUUCAAAGUCAUUUAGUGUUGGUGCCUUUUUUGAGAAUUUCUUCUUGUGUUUCUCGUUCCCUCGUGUUCCCUCUGUCUCAUCUAUGUGCUUGUAUCCUCUGUAAUCAUGUUUAGGGUCAGCCAUGUCUUUUCUUUAUUUCCUGUUUUAGUGUUUUUUUUAUGCUUUGCAUUAGUUUUACUUCCUUCUUUGGGAUUUCCUGCGCUUACUGUCUUCAUCUGUGUAUAGUUACAUACAGUUGUAUCUCAUUGAUUUCCUGUUUCGCUUUACCCACUUAGCAGUGUCUUAUCUGCCUUUUGGCUUUGUUUUAGUCACAUUAUCUGUUGUGCUUCAUUGGUUAAGUUUUACAGUGUUUUGCUUAUUUUUGACACUUAGAUUUUGCUGUUGUUUGAUUGUUUGUUUGUUUGUUUGUUUGUUUGUUUGUUCGUCCUUUAGUCCUCCAAUUUAGCCAGUUAAAUAACUCUCUCUUUGCUCUGUUCUUCCUGCAUUUGUGUCCUGUUCACAUCUACUCUAUUUACUUGUCAGUCUUCUUGUCAUUAAAUUUAAAAUGUAAUAUAAGUGUAUAUAAGUGUAAUGUCUUGUAACCCAUUUGUUUAACAUCUUUCUUUAUUGAAGAGAGAUGUUUUGUAUUGCAUGAAGUCACAAAACUGAUCAACCAAAACAAUAAAAGCACCUGUGUAUUUUAUUAUUAUUCCAUUUAGGUCUCCUCUGUGCCUGAGUGUCUUAUGGGUCCAGAAUGACCAUGUGAGCUGUGUCGACUGUAGGCCAUGUGAUGGUGCCUGUGGACUGAAC
Oreochromis aureus is the source of this 2607-nucleotide long non-coding RNA. The record is from Ensembl. NCBI's taxonomy places the organism in Eukaryota, Metazoa, Chordata, Actinopteri, Cichliformes, Cichlidae.